AGAAACAAUGAAUACAUUAGAUAGGCAAGGCACCCAGACACUGGCAAAUAAAGAAAGCGACAAUCUUCUUGGAGCUAAAAAGAAAAGGGGGUUUACUUUGAGAAGAAAGAAAGGCAUCCCUGAACGAGAAACAUUUUCCCAGCUGUGAUCUCAGAAGGCGUGGGGUUGGGGAGGAGGAACAGAGGGGUCCCGGGGAGAGAACAUCGUUUACGGACCUUACCAUCGGAACCUCGAUUCAUAAAACAAAGCAAUCCAUGUAGGGGACCUGCAUAACUUCACCUGUUGGCAGGUUCACAGGCCUGUGCUGACAAACAUUCAUGAGGAUUCCAUAUGGAUACUCCUGCCCUCCUUUCCUGGAUUUUUCUCCUGAAGUUUCUUUUCAAUCACAUACUUUCUGAGUGAAGACCUUGGAAAUGUGAUCUUGACUUGCACCUCCUAUGGGCAGCCAGGAGUGUGUGAACUUGGAAGAAGGCUGUAAUCAACAAUUAAUUCACACUUCAGCUUUCCAAUAGCUGGAGUUGGAGUUUCCACCCAGGAAGUGGACCCCUCUGUGUGCUUCAGAGUUGUCAGUGACCUGAAAUGCCUACCUAUCUGCCUGGGCCUUGGAAUUAACGUGGACAUGAAGUAUGCAGCCAAGCUCCACUGUUUUUAGCAAGGAAAAUGGGCACAUCUAAUUUGGAUGCCACAAAAAGCAACCUGUCCUGUCUGAAGUCAUAGCCCUCUGUUUUAAACUACAGCAAGAGGAAGCAAUGGUAGCCAUUGUUAAGGCCUCAGAACUUCAGGAAGAUCCCAGAAUGGAAUUUCUAUGUGAGAUACAUUCCCAUCCUUUAUGUGUCCAUACUCUUACCUUUAAUGAGAGAGGAACAGAAAUGAGAUGUGGGUGGGACCCACUGUCUGUCUGUAACUGGUCUCACACUAAGCCAGAAGCGCCAUUCUUGCGUCUUUCUUUGCCUUCCUGGGCCUUUCUGUAGAUAAUCUUCUUUAUGUUGGGCCAGAGUUCUAGGCACCCAGCACUGGAGUCCACAUGCUGAUGCCAUGUGUGCUGUGCGAAGUGGUGACAUCAGGCACUUCUGCCAGUGUUCAUCAGACACUACUUGGCAAGGGAAACUGGGCAAUCUAUCAGAUUUGCCUCCAUGUUCACACUACUAUCUACUGAUUCUAUUAAAACUAACAGUAAAACUUUUAGUUUACUGCCCUCCAUUCCAGUUUGAUUAAGCCUUGAGGGUACCUCAUAAAGUUGCAUAGGUUAGUUGUCUCAUUUAAACCACCCCUGUGAAGCCAACCCUCAUUUAAACUUCCACGGAUCUUAAGAUUAAUAAACUUUAGUCCACAA
Long non-coding RNA from Mesocricetus auratus (golden hamster), 1333 nucleotides. RefSeq lists it as uncharacterized. The record is from RefSeq and is a predicted model, not a curated record. The transcript is spliced from 4 exons. Lineage: Eukaryota; Metazoa; Chordata; Mammalia; Rodentia; Cricetidae.